This 240-nucleotide unclassified non-coding RNA is filed under the name uncultured fungus. Its description in RNAcentral is "partial contains 5.8S ribosomal RNA, internal transcribed spacer 2, and large subunit ribosomal RNA". The record is from RNAcentral. Lineage: Eukaryota; Fungi.
AACGCACAAUGCGCCCUUUGGCAUUCCGAAGGGCAUGCCCGUUCGAGCGUCAUUACACCACUCAAGCCUGGCUUGGUAUUGGGCGACGGGACAUCUCCCGCGCCUCUAAUUCUUCGGCUGGACGGUUCGAACCUCAGCGUUGUGGUUUAAUCAAAAUCGCUGGCGAGGACGACCGGACGCGCCGUGAAAACCUCAUUACAGGUUGACCUCGGAUCGGGUGGGGAUACCCGCUGAACUUAA